Molecule: ribosomal RNA, 874 nt
Filed under: uncultured fungus
Lineage: Eukaryota; Fungi
Description: eukaryotic LSU rRNA
Rfam family: Eukaryotic large subunit ribosomal RNA (bases 561-874)
Source: RNAcentral
UGACCUGCGGAAGGAUCAUUAACAAUUUGAACCCACAUGGAUUCAAGUAUCCAUACCCACCUUGUGUGCACCUAUUGAAAACUACUUUGGGAUGGAUUUGGUAUUUGUAUAUAUACCAACCUCCCAGAAUUUUUAAUCAACGCCUUAAAAUUUUUGUCUGAAAUUAUAAAUAUAUCAUAAAUAAAUACAACUUUCAACAACGGAUCUCUUGGCUCUCGCAUCGAUGAAGAACGCAGCGAAAUGCGAUACGUAAUGUGAAUUGCAGAAUUCCGUGAAUCAUCGAAUCUUUGAACGCAUAUUGCACUCUCUGGUAUUCCGGGGAGUAUGCCUGUUUCAGUAUCAUUAAUCAUCUCAAAAACCAUAAGGAUUUUGGAAUUGAGCUUUGUGCUGAAGAAAUUCGGCUGGCUUUAAACUUAGUCACAGCAAAGAACCGGUUUUUUAAAUCGGGCCAAAAGCGUAAUAGUUGGCUUUUCAAAGUCAUCUUUCGCUGAAAGCUAGAUUUUUUAUGGUUCCUUGAUUUUGUGCUUUGCAGAGAAACAAAAUAUAUAUAUUUUUAAACUUGAUCUGAAAUCAGGUAGGAUUACCCGCUGAACUUAAGCAUAUCAAUAAGCGGAGGAAAAGAAACUAACAAGGAUUCCCUUAGUAACGGCGAGUGAAGCGGGAAAAGCUCAAAUUUAAAAUCUUGGUAGAUUAUCUGCCACGAGUUGUAGUUUCAAGAAGCGUUUUCUGUGCGCGCCUGGGUAUAAGUCCUUUGGAACAGGCAUCAUAGAGGGUGAGAAUCCCGUUUAUGAUCCGGAGCGGCGACUGUGUGAUACGCUUUCUAGAGUCAGUGGUUGGGAUGCAGCUAAAUGGGUGUAAAUUCAUCUAAAGCUAA